ACGGAACCAGGGUCUUCCUCCCGGGUCUCGAGGCGGCAGAUGGCAGAUUAUGGGAUCUAUCGGCCUUCCUGAUCCCCUUUCCCCUCACACACACAGCCUGCUGGUUUUGUUUCCCCGGAGAGCCCUGACCACUGUGCCAGAUGGAGGGAGAGAGGGGCCGACUUACAUGGCCGUGAGGGAUCCUGGCAGCGGGCUCUGAUCCACACUGACUCGAGGUAAAUGCAGAAGAUCCCCAGCCCCCUCCCUGCAGCUGGCACUACCCUUGGGGGCUCUGCCUCAGCACGCCCUCCACAUUCAGCACAGUAGCUCCUGACUUGAUGUGGGGAUGGCGUUUGCAAACAUUUCUGUUUGUUUCAAGCCAGAAAGCAGCAGUGGAGUGGGGUCCGUUUGCGGGGACUUCCACAGCAAAGCACCGCAGGCUGGACACUUACACAGCACUAUUCCCACCGCCCUGCAGGCUGGGAGUCCGGGGACAGGGCGCCGCAGGGCUGGCUCCUCCAGGGACCUCUGUGGCUGGUAGAUGCCGCCCUCUCCGUGUCCUCACAGGGGCGUCCCUCCGUGUGUCUGUCCUCACCUCCUCCUGUAAGGACACCUGGAUUAGGGCCUGUCCUUAUGACGUCAUUUCACCGAAGUCACCUUUUUAAUCCAGGGCCACAGUUCAGCCCUAACGAGGGAGCUCAGCUUUCAGGGGAACCUCCUCUUCUCUGGCUCUCCCACUGGCGGGCAGAAGCCGGGCGGGGCAUGGGGGGAUGUUUGUUGAGGUGCAACAAGAAAAACCUGCAGUUUCCCACAUUGCCAGGCUGAGAGCAGAGAUAACUGGGUUGUGGUCAGGUUUUCUAAAACGCUGCUUCUUAGGGGAUGGUUUUCCUCGGUCAGGUCACCCCCCACAGCCCUGGGCCCCGGGUGGAGAAUGUCCUCACGCCUGUGCCAACACAGGCUGCAAAGUGUAGGCAGAGCACGGGCAGGCUUGCACCAUUGAGAAUUUCACACAAGACCCUGUGGAGUGAAGUGCCGCUUCCGAGCCCCUCGGGGCAUUUGAGGAAGGCGCCAGUGGUCAGGAGGCUGGGGUGGUGUUAACUCAACCAGGCGCUGGCCAAGUGCUGGCCAUGGAGAGCAUUCUGGAUUGCGCCUGCCGGGAGCAGCUGGGCUAAGACUGUCUGGUUCCCAAGCACCCUGUCCUCAUGUGGGGGUCCUGCCAUCUCCAGGACCUGGCUCUCCUGGUGCCCUCAGCCCAGCCCACAUUUUAGAGCCAGCCCCCUCCUUAACCACCCUCUAUCUGUAUCAUCAGUCCAUUCUCCAAUUGCUGUAAAGAAAUACCUGAGACUCGGUAAUUUACAAAGAAAGGUAUAAUUGGCUCAUGGUUCCGCAGCCUCUACAGGAAGCGUGGAGGCUUCUGCUUCUGGGGAAGCCUCAGGAGGUUUCCAGUCAUGGCGAAAGGCAACGCGGCAGCAGGCAUCUCACAUGGUGGGAGAGGGAGAGAGAGCCGGAGGUGCCAACACGUUUCAACAGCCAGACCGGAUCCCAUCUGACUGGGAUUGACUCUGGAACAACGAGGUCUGGGUGCCUGGCUGCAGCUCGGCUGAGUCAUUGACCUCUCUCCGUGGCACAUUCUUCUGCUGGGGACCUGCACCCACCAACCGUUGGGCCAUGCACAGUGCCGGGUGGGAGGGGGCCUGGCCAGGGGCCGGGGCCAGGCCUGAGUGAGGACACACUGGAACUACUGGAAGGCUGGCCCCAGGGCUCCCAUCUUGCCGAGUUGAGAUCCCCCAAGAAGGAAAGGCACCCUGAUCUAGAGCUCCCACACUCACCAGCUGCGUGGGAUGGUGACAGGCCUCACCUCCGUGUGGGAGGGUGAAGGUGUUAGCUGCAGUAGAAGCCACUGGCUCUGGUAGGAAGGGGUGCACCGAGCGCUUCUCAGAGCCUCUAGAGGGCAAGGGGUAUCAUUGGGGGCCUCCCAGGAGGCCAAGGUCUACCCCAGGGACGGCCACAUAGAGCAAACAGAGAUACAGGAUGCCCAGUGACAUUCAAAUCUCAGAUCAGCGAGUCCUUCUGAGUGUAGGUAUAUCCCAUGCACUAUUUGGGGCGUACUUGUACUAAGAAAUGGCCUGGUGUUGAUCUGGGAUGCCAGGGCAGGUGGACAGCCUACUUUCUCUGGCAACUCUAUCUGCAGGGUCCCCCGUCCCCACCCCAAGCUCAGCUGGCUGGGAGCUCUUGUUAGGACAACCUCACAGAUGUCCCGUCCCAUGAAACACAGGCUGGGAAACCUGCUUGUGGCUCUUCUGGGGGUUCCUUCCUUCCUCACCCCAAAGGGCAGCCCCAAAGGUCCUCAGAGAAUGUGAGUUUCUGCUUGUAACUGUGGGCUGUUUCCACGGACAGGGUCCUGCAGGGUCCAGAGAGAAAGAAGAAAGGAAGAGGAUGAAGGGAGGAUGGGAGAAGGGAAAGAUGGAAGGAGAGAAGGAGAGAGA
Long non-coding RNA from Piliocolobus tephrosceles (Ugandan red Colobus), 2465 nucleotides. RefSeq lists it as uncharacterized. The transcript has 3 exons. Lineage: Eukaryota; Metazoa; Chordata; Mammalia; Primates; Cercopithecidae. The record is from RefSeq and is a predicted model, not a curated record.